RNAcentral lists this ribosomal RNA (2902 nucleotides) under Klebsiella pneumoniae. Its description in RNAcentral is "23S ribosomal RNA". It matches the Rfam family "Bacterial large subunit ribosomal RNA". The record is from RNAcentral. Lineage: Bacteria; Pseudomonadati; Pseudomonadota; Gammaproteobacteria; Enterobacterales; Enterobacteriaceae.
GGUUAAGCGACUAAGCGUACACGGUGGAUGCCCUGGCAGUCAGAGGCGAUGAAGGACGUGCUAAUCUGCGAAAAGCGUCGGUAAGGUGAUAUGAACCGUUACAGCCGGCGAUGUCCGAAUGGGGAAACCCAGUGCAAUUCGUUGCACUAUCGUUAACUGAAUACAUAGGUUAACGAGGCGAACCGGGGGAACUGAAACAUCUAAGUACCCCGAGGAAAAGAAAUCAACCGAGAUUCCCCCAGUAGCGGCGAGCGAACGGGGAGCAGCCCAGAGUCUGAAUCAGCUUGUGUGUUAGUGGAACGGUCUGGAAAGUCCGACGGUACAGGGUGAUAGUCCCGUACACCAAAAUGCACAGGCUGUGAACUCGAAGAGUAGGGCGGGACACGUGGUAUCCUGUCUGAAUAUGGGGGGACCAUCCUCCAAGGCUAAAUACUCCUGACUGACCGAUAGUGAACCAGUACCGUGAGGGAAAGGCGAAAAGAACCCCGGCGAGGGGAGUGAAAAAGAACCUGAAACCGUGUACGUACAAGCAGUGGGAGCACCUUCGGGUGUGACUGCGUACCUUUUGUAUAAUGGGUCAGCGACUUAUAUUCUGUAGCAAGGUUAACCGUAUAGGGGAGCCGCAGGGAAACCGAGUCUUAACUGGGCGUUAAGUUGCAGGGUAUAGACCCGAAACCCGGUGAUCUAGCCAUGGGCAGGUUGAAGGUUGGGUAACACUAACUGGAGGACCGAACCGACUAAUGUUGAAAAAUUAGCGGAUGACUUGUGGCUGGGGGUGAAAGGCCAAUCAAACCGGGAGAUAGCUGGUUCUCCCCGAAAGCUAUUUAGGUAGCGCCUCGUGAAUUCAUCUUCGGGGGUAGAGCACUGUUUCGGCUAGGGGGUCAUCCCGACUUACCAACCCGAUGCAAACUACGAAUACCGAAGAAUGUUAUCACGGGAGACACACGGCGGGUGCUAACGUCCGUCGUGAAGAGGGAAACAACCCAGACCGCCAGCUAAGGUCCCAAAGUCAUGGUUAAGUGGGAAACGAUGUGGGAAGGCACAGACAGCCAGGAUGUUGGCUUAGAAGCAGCCAUCAUUUAAAGAAAGCGUAAUAGCUCACUGGUCGAGUCGGCCUGCGCGGAAGAUGUAACGGGGCUAAACCAUGCACCGAAGCUGCGGCAGCGACACUAUGUGUUGUUGGGUAGGGGAGCGUUCUGUAAGCCUGCGAAGGUGACCUGUGAGGGUUGCUGGAGGUAUCAGAAGUGCGAAUGCUGACAUAAGUAACGAUAAAGCGGGUGAAAAGCCCGCUCGCCGGAAGACCAAGGGUUCCUGUCCAACGUUAAUCGGGGCAGGGUGAGUCGACCCCUAAGGCGAGGCCGAAAGGCGUAGUCGAUGGGAAACAGGUUAAUAUUCCUGUACUUGGUGUUACUGCGAAGGGGGGACGGAGAAGGCUAUGUUAGCCGGGCGACGGUUGUCCCGGUUUAAGCAUGUAGGCUGGUUGUCCAGGCAAAUCCGGAUAAUCAAGGCUGAGGUGUGAUGACGAGGCACUACGGUGCUGAAGUAACAAAUGCCCUGCUUCCAGGAAAAGCCUCUAAGCAUCAGGUAACAUUAAAUCGUACCCCAAACCGACACAGGUGGUCAGGUAGAGAAUACCAAGGCGCUUGAGAGAACUCGGGUGAAGGAACUAGGCAAAAUGGUGCCGUAACUUCGGGAGAAGGCACGCUGGUGUGUAGGUGAAGUCCCUGCGGAUGGAGCUGAGACCAGUCGAAGAUACCAGCUGGCUGCAACUGUUUAUUAAAAACACAGCACUGUGCAAACACGAAAGUGGACGUAUACGGUGUGACGCCUGCCCGGUGCCGGAAGGUUAAUUGAUGGGGUUAUCCGUAAGGAGAAGCUCUUGAUCGAAGCCCCGGUAAACGGCGGCCGUAACUAUAACGGUCCUAAGGUAGCGAAAUUCCUUGUCGGGUAAGUUCCGACCUGCACGAAUGGCGUAAUGAUGGCCAGGCUGUCUCCACCCGAGACUCAGUGAAAUUGAACUCGCUGUGAAGAUGCUGUGUACCCGCGGCAAGACGGAAAGACCCCGUGAACCUUUACUAUAGCUUGACACUGAACAUUGAGCCUUGAUGUGUAGGAUAGGUGGGAGGCUUUGAAGCGUGGACGCCAGUCUGCGUGGAGCCAACCUUGAAAUACCACCCUUUAAUGUUUGAUGUUCUAACGUUGGCCCCUUACCGGGGUUGCGGACAGUGUCUGGUGGGUAGUUUGACUGGGGCGGUCUCCUCCCAAAGCGUAACGGAGGAGCACGAAGGUUAGCUAAUCCUGGUCGGACAUCAGGAGGUUAGUGCAAUGGCAUAAGCUAGCUUGACUGCGAGCGUGACGGCGCGAGCAGGUGCGAAAGCAGGUCAUAGUGAUCCGGUGGUUCUGAAUGGAAGGGCCAUCGCUCAACGGAUAAAAGGUACUCCGGGGAUAACAGGCUGAUACCGCCCAAGAGUUCAUAUCGACGGCGGUGUUUGGCACCUCGAUGUCGGCUCAUCACAUCCUGGGGCUGAAGUAGGUCCCAAGGGUAUGGCUGUUCGCCAUUUAAAGUGGUACGCGAGCUGGGUUUAGAACGUCGUGAGACAGUUCGGUCCCUAUCUGCCGUGGGCGCUGGAGAAUUGAGGGGGGCUGCUCCUAGUACGAGAGGACCGAAGUGGACGCAUCACUGGUGUUCGGGUUGUCAUGCCAAUGGCACUGCCCGGUAGCUAAAUGCGGAAGAGAUAAGUGCUGAAAGCAUCUAAGCACGAAACUUGCCCCGAGAUGAGUUCUCCCUGAGACUUUAAGUCUCCUGAAGGAACGUUGAAGACGACGACGUUGAUAGGCCGGGUGUGUAAGCGCAGCGAUGCGUUGAGCUAACCGGUACUAAUGAACCGUGAGGCUUAACCUU